AGAGUUUGAUCCUGGCUCAGGACGAACGCUGGCGGCGUGCCUAACACAUGCAAGUCGAGCGGAGAUCAUGGAGUGCUUGCACAAAAUGAUUUCAGCGGCGGACGGGUGAGUAACGCGUGAGCAAUCUGUCUCAGACAGGGGGAUAACGUACCGAAAGGUGCACUAAUACCGCAUAAGACCACAGAGCCACAUGGCUUAGGGGUCAAAGGAGAAAUCCGGUCUGAGGUGAGCUCGCGUCCCAUUAGGUAGUUGGUGAGGUAACGGCCCACCAAGCCUGCGAUGGGUAGCCGACCUGAGAGGGUGAUCGGCCACACUGGAACUGAGACACGGUCCAGACUCCUACGGGAGGCAGCAGUGGGGAAUAUUGGGCAAUGGGGGAAACCCUGACCCAGCAACGCCGCGUGAGGGAAGAAGGUUCUCGGAUUGUAAACCUCUGUCCUAUGAGAAGAGGGGAAGACGGUAUCAUAGGAGGAAGCCCCGGCUAACUACGUGCCAGCAGCCGCGGUAAUACGUAGGGGGCGAGCGUUGUCCGGAAUGAUUGGGCGUAAAGGGCGCGUAGGCGGCUUUAUAAGUCUGGAGUGAAAGUCCUGUUUUCAAGAUGGGAAUUGCUUUGGAUACUGUAGAGCUUGAGUGCAGGAGAGGUUAUCGGAAUUCCCGGUGUAGCGGUGAAAUGCGUAGAGAUCGGGAGGAACACCAGUGGCGAAGGCGGGUAACUGGACUGCAACUGACGCUGAGGCGCGAAAGUGUGGGGAGCAAACAGGAUUAGAUACCCUGGUAGUCCACACUGUAAACGAUGAAUGCUAGGUGUAGGGGGUAUCGACCCCUUCUGUGCCGGAGUUAACACAAUAAGCAUUCCGCCUGGGGAGUACGGCCGCAAGGUUGAAACUCAAAGGAAUUGACGGGGGCCCGCACAAGCAGCGGAGCAUGUGGUUUAAUUCGAAGCAACGCGAAGAAUCUUACCUGGUCUUGACAUCCUUCUGAAUACAGAGUAAUGUCUGUAGUCCUUCGGGACAGAAGAGACAGGUGGUGCAUGGUUGUCGUCAGCUCGUGUCGUGAGAUGUUGGGUUAAGUCCCGCAACGAGCGCAACCCUUAUCUUUAGUAGCCAGCAAUUCGGAUGGGAACUCUAGAGAGACUGCCGGGGAUAACCCGGAGGAAGGUGGGGAUGACGUCAAAUCAUCAUGCCCCUUAUGACCAGGGCUACACACGUGCUACAAUGGCGUAAACAAAGGGAAGCAGAGUCGUGAGGCCGAGCAAAUCCCAGAAAUAACGUCUCAGUUCGGAUUGUAGUCUGCAACUCGACUACAUGAAGCUGGAAUCGCUAGUAAUCGCGAAUCAGAAUGUCGCGGUGAGUACGUUCCCGGGUCUUGUACACACCGCCCGUCACACCAUGGGAGUCGGAAAUGCCCGAAGUCAGUGACCCAACCGUAAGGAGGGAGCUGCCGAAGGCAGGUCUGAUAACUGGGGUGAAGUCGUAACAAGGUAACC
This 1486-nucleotide ribosomal RNA is filed under the name uncultured bacterium. RNAcentral's name for it is "bacterial SSU rRNA". It matches the Rfam family "Bacterial small subunit ribosomal RNA". The record is from RNAcentral.